This 388-nucleotide long non-coding RNA is filed under the name Mytilus galloprovincialis (Mediterranean mussel). Lineage: Eukaryota; Metazoa; Mollusca; Bivalvia; Mytilida; Mytilidae. The record is from RNAcentral.
GAAAUCCGAAAUUUUCAUAUAUUGACAAUUCAAUUUAAUUCAAUUUGUGAGUGCGAUUAGAGACUUUUAAAAUUCUUCAAUUAGUUUCAUUUGCGAGAGAAAGAGAGAUGUAAUAUCAAUCAAUUGUUAUCAUGUAGUUUGCUGUUAUCAUGUAGUUAAUACUUAUGCAUAGGUGACUUCGUUACCUUCCCCAUCCUUGUAACUGCCCUUAUUAAAAAUAAAACGUGCAACUCAACUGUGGUUGUUAUUACAGGGUAUGAUUACAAAUGAGACAACUUUUAUCAAAAGACGAACUAAUAAAGAUGUAUACCCCAAUAAAACAUCGUAUGCCUAAUGGCAUUCAACAAUGAACAAAUCACAUCCAAUAUAGUAAGUUAUAAGAGACCCC